UACGUAGGUGGCAAGCGUUGUCCGGAUUUAUUGGGCGUAAAGCGAGCGCAGGCGGUUUCUUAAGUCUGAUGUGAAAGCCCCCGGCUCAACCGGGGAGGGUCAUUGGAAACUGGGAAACUUGAGUGCAGAAGAGGAGAGUGGAAUUCCAUGUGUAGCGGUGAAAUGCGUAGAUAUAUGGAGGAACACCAGUGGCGAAGGCGGCUCUCUGGUCUGUAACUGACGCUGAGGCUCGAAAGCGUGGGGAGCAAACAGGAUUAGAUACCCUGGUAGUCCACGCCGUAAACGAUGAGUGCUAAGUGUUGGAGGGUUUCCGCCCUUCAGUGCUGCAGCUAACGCAUUAAGCACUCCACCUGGGGAGUACGCCGGCAACGGUGAA
Molecule: ribosomal RNA, 376 nt
Filed under: uncultured bacterium
Lineage: Bacteria
Description: bacterial SSU rRNA
Rfam family: Bacterial small subunit ribosomal RNA
Source: RNAcentral